Rhinichthys klamathensis goyatoka is the source of this 426-nucleotide long non-coding RNA. RefSeq lists it as uncharacterized. The transcript is spliced from 2 exons. The record is from RefSeq and is a predicted model, not a curated record. Lineage: Eukaryota; Metazoa; Chordata; Actinopteri; Cypriniformes; Leuciscidae.
CAGAGAUUCAUUAAUGAGGAAAGUUUUUGUUUUGGUAUGUGGUUUGGAAGCCCUUAAUUCAGCUGUUAGUUGGGUUGGGGCCAUUUAACCCUGUUAGUUUUUCACUGUGUUAAGGUCUGGUCACAUUAGAGGGAUUUCGCGAGCAAAUAAGGUCUAUUUUUAAUAUUGUAGUAUUAUAUAUGAAGCACAGCUCACGCAAAAGUCACUUUCAAACCAAGCAACUUGGUCAACAUGUUAAAUCCGUCUGACUAUCUUAAAUCUGUGAGUAAUGUAAAUGACUGGAUUUUGCUUUCGAAACUGUAAAUGUGACCGCACUUUUUAGUCAUGUUUUAUGUCCUUCUAUUGACCAUUAACAAUGUGCUUUAAGCAGGGCUCCAGACUGACUAGGAUAAUCGCAAAUGUGACACAAUACAAAUUUUCUACUAG